AGUGAACGCUGGCGGCAGGCCUAACACAUGCAAGUCGAACGGAAGCACAGUAAGAGCGCGCUUUUACGGGUGGCGAGUGGCGGACGGGUGAGGAAUACAUCGGAAUCUACUAUUACGGGGGGGACAACGGGGGGAAACUUAUGCUACUACCGCAUAUGUCGUACGGCUGGAAUCAGGAGAUCUUCGCGGUCUGGGUGACUCAAUGAGCUGAUGCCGCAUUAGCUAGUUGGGGAGGUAAGGGCCCACCAAGGCAACGAUACGUAGCUGGUCUGAGAGGAUGAUCAGCCACACUGGAACUGAGACACGGUCCAGACUCCUACGGGAGGCAGCAGUGGGGAAUAUUCGGCAAUGGGCGCAAGCCUGAUGCAGCCAUACCGCGUGAGUGAAGAAGGCCUUCGGGUUGUAAAGCCCUUUUGUUAGGAAAGAAAAGCAGCGGAUUAAUACCCCGCUAUUCUGACGGUACCCAAAGAGUAAGCACCGGCUAACUUCGUG
This 492-nucleotide ribosomal RNA is filed under the name uncultured bacterium. RNAcentral's name for it is "partial 16S ribosomal RNA". It matches the Rfam family "Bacterial small subunit ribosomal RNA", at positions 29 to 507 of the family's 1533-position model. The record is from RNAcentral.